UACCCGCUGAGUUUAAGCAUAU
This 22-nucleotide non-coding RNA is filed under the name Arabidopsis thaliana (thale cress). RNAcentral also lists the same sequence under 1 other name. The record is from RNAcentral. Lineage: Eukaryota; Viridiplantae; Streptophyta; Magnoliopsida; Brassicales; Brassicaceae.